Molecule: ribosomal RNA, 467 nt
Filed under: uncultured bacterium
Lineage: Bacteria
Description: partial 16S ribosomal RNA
Rfam family: Bacterial small subunit ribosomal RNA
Source: RNAcentral
GAUGAACGCUGGCGGCGUGCUUAACACAUGCAAGUCGAACGGAAAGGCCCAAGCUUGCUUGGGUACUCGAGUGGCGAACGGGUGAGUAACACGUGGGUGAUCUGCCCUGCACUUCGGGAUAAGCCUGGGAAACUGGGUCUAGUGCCGGAUAGGACCACUUCUUGGAUGUUGUGGUGGAAAGUUUUUUCGGUGUGGGAUGAGCUCGCGGCCUAUCAGCUUGUUGGUGGGGUAAUGGCCUACCAAGGCGUCGACGGGUAGCCGGCCUGAGAGGGUGUACGGCCACAUUGGGACUGAGAUACGGCCCAGACUCCUACGGGAGGCAGCAGUGGGGAAUAUUGCACAAUGGGCGCAAGCCUGAUGCAGCGACGCCGCGUGGGGGAUGACGGCCUUCGGGUUGUAAACUCCUUUCGCUAGGGACGAAGCGUUUUGUGACGGUACCUGGAGAAGAAGCACCGGCUAACUACGUG